GGAGGCUUCGCCUAGUCUGGUCUAUGGCGCCGCACUGCUAAUGCGGUUGGGGGAAACCCCUCCCGGGUUCAAAUCCCGGAGCCUCCG
This 87-nucleotide transfer RNA is filed under the name Actinophytocola xinjiangensis. RNAcentral describes it as "Actinophytocola sp. QAIII60 tRNA". It matches the Rfam family "tRNA". From Rfam's summary of the family: Transfer RNA (tRNA) molecules are approximately 80 nucleotides in length. Their secondary structure includes four short double-helical elements and three loops (D, anti-codon, and T loops). Lineage: Bacteria; Bacillati; Actinomycetota; Actinomycetes; Pseudonocardiales; Pseudonocardiaceae. The record is from Rfam by way of RNAcentral.